AUGAACGCUGGCGGCGUGCCUAAUACAUGCAAGUCGAGCGAACAGACGAGGAGCUUGCUCCUCUGACGUUAGCGGCGGACGGGUGAGUAACACGUGGAUAACCUACCUAUAAGACUGGGAUAACUUCGGGAAACCGGAGCUAAUACCGGAUAAUAUAUUGAACCGCAUGGUUCAAUAGUGAAAGACGGUUUUGCUGUCACUUAUAGAUGGAUCCGCGCCGCAUUAGCUAGUUGGUAAGGUAACGGCUUACCAAGGCAACGAUGCGUAGCCGACCUGAGAGGGUGAUCGGCCACACUGGAACUGAGACACGGUCCAGACUCCUAAGGGAGGCAGCAGUAGGGAAUCUUCCGCAAUGGGCGAAAGCCUGACGGAGCAACGCCGCGUGAGUGAUGAAGGUCUUCGGAUCGUAAAACUCUGUUAUUAGGGAAGAACAAAUGUGUAAGUAACUAUGCACGUCUUGACGGUACCUAAUCAGAAAGCCAAGGAUAACUACGUG
This 496-nucleotide ribosomal RNA is filed under the name uncultured bacterium. Its description in RNAcentral is "partial 16S ribosomal RNA". It matches the Rfam family "Bacterial small subunit ribosomal RNA", at positions 29 to 507 of the family's 1533-position model. The record is from RNAcentral.